CCGGAGUGGACGAACCUCUGGUGUUCCGGUUGUCACGCCAGUGGCAUUGCCGGGUAGCUAUGUUCGGAAGAGAUAACCGCUGAAAGCAUCUAAGCGGGAAACUUGCCUCAAGAUGAGAUCUCACUGGAGCCUUGAGCUUCCUGAAGGGCCGUCGAAGACUACGACGUUGAUAGGUCGGGUGUGUAAGCGCUGUGAGGCGUUGAGCUAACCGAUACUAAUUGCCCGUGAGGCUUGACCAUAUAACACCCAAACA
RNAcentral lists this ribosomal RNA (253 nucleotides) under Pseudomonas oryzihabitans. RNAcentral describes it as "partial 23S ribosomal RNA". It matches the Rfam family "Bacterial large subunit ribosomal RNA", at positions 2692 to 2925 of the family's 2925-position model. The record is from RNAcentral. Lineage: Bacteria; Pseudomonadati; Pseudomonadota; Gammaproteobacteria; Pseudomonadales; Pseudomonadaceae.